Molecule: long non-coding RNA, 898 nt
Organism: Glycine soja
Lineage: Eukaryota; Viridiplantae; Streptophyta; Magnoliopsida; Fabales; Fabaceae
Exons: 2
Source: RefSeq, a predicted model, not a curated record
UCUUUUUCUUUUGUUAUUAAUUCAAUUGACAAACUGAAAUUGAUAUAAAGUUUGUGUUACAACUUACAAGUCCCACUUUAAAGUUCUAUUCAUUGCACUUUGUAUUUCAGCUUCUAAUCACAAUCCAUUCCUGAUUUUGCUAGACCAAAUCAUGAUGGUCUGUACAGAGCUAUAGACAUCUACUUGAAGGAGCACCCGAAUUUGACAAAAGCUGAAAGGAAGAAGCUAUAUGGACUGAUGGAUGUCCGAAAAUUGACAGCAGAUGCUUUUGUGCAUACAGCACAGCAUGAACGCCUUCCUCUUCGAGUUAUAGUGCAUGUUCUCUUCUUUGAUUAGGUCAGGUCUUCUAUCUGCUUUCAAACACCCGGUAACAAUAGUGCACGCGACCCUUUAUGCUCUCCAAUGAACCGAGAUGAGGGAUAUGAGACAACAGCGGGAGAUAGCUGCCAAGCCACCCUCAAGAAUCAGAUGAGUCAUUUGAGGAUCAAGGAUGAAGAGUUACAUAAAAAUGGGAAAUUGAGCAAGAAAAAUAGCAAAAACAACAAAACUGACAUUCAAUUGUUGCCAUCGCGGUCAAGGAGAAUCUUUGACAAGUUAUGGAGUGUGUGAAAAGCGCAUGGAGAGAAUAGGAGUUCAGAGGCUUCUGGGAGUUUCAGUAGCCCAACUUCUUUAGGCCAGGGAGAUACCAAAUCAUAUGGCCUAUCUUUGAGACACCAGAUGCAUUCUAUCUCUUAGGGAAUUAGAAAAUUAUUUGCAACAAGUGAGAUUGAUUCAAAUUGUUGUCUAAGUAUAAAGUGGUAGGAUGUUAGCAUUAGUGGAGCUUUAGCAUGUUUGAAAAGUUGUAUGAUUCUUUUUCUUUUAUGCUUUUUGAUUAACUGGAAACAACAUUAUUUGCACA